RNAcentral lists this ribosomal RNA (2900 nucleotides) under Klebsiella pneumoniae UCICRE 4. RNAcentral describes it as "bacterial LSU rRNA". It matches the Rfam family "Bacterial large subunit ribosomal RNA". Lineage: Bacteria; Pseudomonadati; Pseudomonadota; Gammaproteobacteria; Enterobacterales; Enterobacteriaceae. The record is from RNAcentral.
UUAAGCGACUAAGCGUACACGGUGGAUGCCCUGGCAGUCAGAGGCGAUGAAGGACGUGCUAAUCUGCGAAAAGCGUCGGUAAGGUGAUAUGAACCGUUAUAACCGGCGAUGUCCGAAUGGGGAAACCCAGUGCAAUUCGUUGCACUAUCGUUAACUGAAUACAUAGGUUAACGAGGCGAACCGGGGGAACUGAAACAUCUAAGUACCCCGAGGAAAAGAAAUCAACCGAGAUUCCCCCAGUAGCGGCGAGCGAACGGGGAGCAGCCCAGAGUCUGAAUCAGCUUGUGUGUUAGUGGAACGGUCUGGAAAGUCCGACGGUACAGGGUGAUAGUCCCGUACACCAAAAUGCACAGGUUGUGAACUCGAAGAGUAGGGCGGGACACGUGGUAUCCUGUCUGAAUAUGGGGGGACCAUCCUCCAAGGCUAAAUACUCCUGACUGACCGAUAGUGAACCAGUACCGUGAGGGAAAGGCGAAAAGAACCCCGGCGAGGGGAGUGAAAAAGAACCUGAAACCGUGUACGUACAAGCAGUGGGAGCACCUUCGGGUGUGACUGCGUACCUUUUGUAUAAUGGGUCAGCGACUUAUAUUCUGUAGCAAGGUUAACCGUAUAGGGGAGCCGCAGGGAAACCGAGUCUUAACUGGGCGUUAAGUUGCAGGGUAUAGACCCGAAACCCGGUGAUCUAGCCAUGGGCAGGUUGAAGGUUGGGUAACACUAACUGGAGGACCGAACCGACUAAUGUUGAAAAAUUAGCGGAUGACUUGUGGCUGGGGGUGAAAGGCCAAUCAAACCGGGAGAUAGCUGGUUCUCCCCGAAAGCUAUUUAGGUAGCGCCUCGUGAACUCAUCUUCGGGGGUAGAGCACUGUUUCGGCUAGGGGGUCAUCCCGACUUACCAACCCGAUGCAAACUACGAAUACCGAAGAAUGUUAUCACGGGAGACACACGGCGGGUGCUAACGUCCGUCGUGAAGAGGGAAACAACCCAGACCGCCAGCUAAGGUCCCAAAGUCAUGGUUAAGUGGGAAACGAUGUGGGAAGGCACAGACAGCCAGGAUGUUGGCUUAGAAGCAGCCAUCAUUUAAAGAAAGCGUAAUAGCUCACUGGUCGAGUCGGCCUGCGCGGAAGAUGUAACGGGGCUAAACCAUGCACCGAAGCUGCGGCAGCGACACUAUGUGUUGUUGGGUAGGGGAGCGUUCUGUAAGCCUGCGAAGGUGACCUGUGAGGGUUGCUGGAGGUAUCAGAAGUGCGAAUGCUGACAUAAGUAACGAUAAAGCGGGUGAAAAGCCCGCUCGCCGGAAGACCAAGGGUUCCUGUCCAACGUUAAUCGGGGCAGGGUGAGUCGACCCCUAAGGCGAGGCCGAAAGGCGUAGUCGAUGGGAAACAGGUUAAUAUUCCUGUACUUGGUGUUACUGCGAAGGGGGGACGGAGAAGGCUAUGUUAGCCGGGCGACGGUUGUCCCGGUUUAAGCAUGUAGGCUGAUUAUCCAGGCAAAUCCGGAUAAUCAAGGCUGAGGUGUGAUGACGAGGCACUACGGUGCUGAAGUAACAAAUGCCCUGCUUCCAGGAAAAGCCUCUAAGCAUCAGGUAACAUCAAAUCGUACCCCAAACCGACACAGGUGGUCAGGUAGAGAAUACCAAGGCGCUUGAGAGAACUCGGGUGAAGGAACUAGGCAAAAUGGUGCCGUAACUUCGGGAGAAGGCACGCUGGUGUGUAGGUGAAGUCCCUGCGGAUGGAGCUGAGACCAGUCGAAGAUACCAGCUGGCUGCAACUGUUUAUUAAAAACACAGCACUGUGCAAACACGAAAGUGGACGUAUACGGUGUGACGCCUGCCCGGUGCCGGAAGGUUAAUUGAUGGGGUUAUCCGUAAGGAGAAGCUCUUGAUCGAAGCCCCGGUAAACGGCGGCCGUAACUAUAACGGUCCUAAGGUAGCGAAAUUCCUUGUCGGGUAAGUUCCGACCUGCACGAAUGGCGUAAUGAUGGCCAGGCUGUCUCCACCCGAGACUCAGUGAAAUUGAACUCGCUGUGAAGAUGCAGUGUACCCGCGGCAAGACGGAAAGACCCCGUGAACCUUUACUAUAGCUUGACACUGAACAUUGAGCCUUGAUGUGUAGGAUAGGUGGGAGGCUUUGAAGCGUGGACGCCAGUCUGCGUGGAGCCAACCUUGAAAUACCACCCUUUAAUGUUUGAUGUUCUAACGUUGGCCCCUUACCGGGGUUGCGGACAGUGUCUGGUGGGUAGUUUGACUGGGGCGGUCUCCUCCCAAAGCGUAACGGAGGAGCACGAAGGUUAGCUAAUCCUGGUCGGACAUCAGGAGGUUAGUGCAAUGGCAUAAGCUAGCUUGACUGCGAGCGUGACGGCGCGAGCAGGUGCGAAAGCAGGUCAUAGUGAUCCGGUGGUUCUGAAUGGAAGGGCCAUCGCUCAACGGAUAAAAGGUACUCCGGGGAUAACAGGCUGAUACCGCCCAAGAGUUCAUAUCGACGGCGGUGUUUGGCACCUCGAUGUCGGCUCAUCACAUCCUGGGGCUGAAGUAGGUCCCAAGGGUAUGGCUGUUCGCCAUUUAAAGUGGUACGCGAGCUGGGUUUAGAACGUCGUGAGACAGUUCGGUCCCUAUCUGCCGUGGGCGCUGGAGAAUUGAGGGGGGCUGCUCCUAGUACGAGAGGACCGGAGUGGACGCAUCACUGGUGUUCGGGUUGUCAUGCCAAUGGCACUGCCCGGUAGCUAAAUGCGGAAGAGAUAAGUGCUGAAAGCAUCUAAGCACGAAACUUGCCCCGAGAUGAGUUCUCCCUGAGACUUUAAGUCUCCUGAAGGAACGUUGAAGACGACGACGUUGAUAGGCCGGGUGUGUAAGCGCAGCGAUGCGUUGAGCUAACCGGUACUAAUGAACCGUGAGGCUUAACCUU